RNAcentral lists this transfer RNA (74 nucleotides) under Treponema maltophilum. Its description in RNAcentral is "tRNA-Arg(tct)". It matches the Rfam family "tRNA". Rfam says of the family: Transfer RNA (tRNA) molecules are approximately 80 nucleotides in length. Their secondary structure includes four short double-helical elements and three loops (D, anti-codon, and T loops). Lineage: Bacteria; Pseudomonadati; Spirochaetota; Spirochaetia; Treponematales; Treponemataceae. RNAcentral also lists the same sequence under 1 other name. The record is from RNAcentral.
GGGUUUGUAGCUCAUCAGGAUAGAGCAGCUGCCUUCUAAGCAGCAGGUAGGGGGUUCGAGCCCCUCCAGACCCG